This 371-nucleotide ribosomal RNA is filed under the name uncultured bacterium. RNAcentral describes it as "bacterial SSU rRNA". It matches the Rfam family "Bacterial small subunit ribosomal RNA", at positions 28 to 399 of the family's 1533-position model. The record is from RNAcentral.
GACGAACGCUGGCGGCGUGCUUAACACAUGCAAGUCGAGCGGUAAGGCCCUUUCGGGGGUACGACGAGCGGCGAACGGGUGAGUAACACGUGGGUGACCUGCCCUCAGCUCUGGGAUAAGCCUGGGAAACCGGGUCUAAUACUGGACAUGACUCCAUGACGCAUGUUGUGGGGUGGAAAGCCUUGUGCGGCUGAGGAUGGGCCCGCGGCCUAUCAGCUUGUUGGUGGGGUGAUGGCCUACCAAGGCGACGACGGGUAGCCGGCCUGAGAGGGCGACCGGCCACACUGGGACUGAGACACGGCCCAGACUCCUACGGGAGGCAGCAGUGGGGAAUCUUGCGCAAUGGGCGAAAGCCUGACGCAGCGACGCCG